RNAcentral lists this small nuclear RNA (164 nucleotides) under Salvator merianae (Argentine black and white tegu). Its description in RNAcentral is "U1 spliceosomal RNA (ENSSMRG00000017418.1)". It matches the Rfam family "U1 spliceosomal RNA". From Rfam's summary of the family: U1 is a small nuclear RNA (snRNA) component of the spliceosome (involved in pre-mRNA splicing). Its 5' end forms complementary base pairs with the 5' splice junction, thus defining the 5' donor site of an intron. The record is from RNAcentral. Lineage: Eukaryota; Metazoa; Chordata; Lepidosauria; Squamata; Teiidae.
GUAGGUAGGUAGGUAGGUAGAUAAUAUCAUGAUGGGUUUUUUUUUCCAGGGUGAGGCUCAUCCAUUGCACCUGAAGAGGUGUGCUGGCCCAUGUGAUUUUCCCAAAUGUGGAAAACUCAACUGCAUAAUUUGUGACAUUGGGCAACUACGUUUGUGCUUUCCCU